CAACCCUCGAGCGGACCCGUCCGCCCGGUGUUGGGGCCCCGCGGCGCGCCGCGGGCCCUGAAAGAUAUCGGCGGUGCCUGCCAGCACUCCGGGCGCAGUAGCAAACCUCGCCCAGGACGUGCCGGCGGCGCCUGCCGCCAAGCGCCCCCAGCGGGCACACUUCUAA
This 166-nucleotide unclassified non-coding RNA is filed under the name uncultured Sordariomycetes. Its description in RNAcentral is "sequence contains ITS2". The record is from RNAcentral. Lineage: Eukaryota; Fungi; Ascomycota; Sordariomycetes.